Molecule: ribosomal RNA, 301 nt
Filed under: uncultured bacterium
Lineage: Bacteria
Description: partial 16S ribosomal RNA
Rfam family: Bacterial small subunit ribosomal RNA
Source: RNAcentral
CAGUAGCCGCGGUAAUACAGAGGGUGCGAGCGUUAAUCGGAUUUACUGGGCGUAAAGCGUGCGUAGGCGGCUUCUUAAGUCGGAUGUGAAAUCCCUGAGCUUAACUUAGGAAUUGCAUUCGAUACUGGGAAGCUAGAGUAUGGGAGAGGAUGGUAGAAUUCCAGGUGUAGCAGUGAAAUGCGUAGAGAUCGGAAGGAACAUCUGUGGCGAAGGCGACUAUCUGGGCCAACACUGACACUGAGGCACGAAAGCGUGGGGAGCAAACAGGAUUAGAUACCCCUGUAGUCCCUGUCUCUUAUAC